GAUGAACGCUGGCGGCGUGCUUAACACAUGCAAGUCGAACGGAAAGGCCCAAGCUUGCUUGGGUACUCGAGUGGCGAACGGGUGAGUAACACGUGGGUGAUCUGCCCUGCACUUCGGGAUAAGCCUGGGAAACUGGGUCUAAUACCGGAUAGGACCACUUCUUGGAUGUUGUUGUGGAAAGUUUUUUCGGUGUGGGAUGAGCUCGCGGCCUAUCAGCUUGUUGGUGGGGUAAUGGCCUACCAAGGCGUCGACGGGUAGCCGGCCUGAGAGGGUGUACGGCCACAUUGGGACUGAGAGACGGACCAGACUCCUACGGGAGGCAGCAGUGGGGAAUAUUGCACAAUGGGCGCAAGCCUGAUGCAGCGACGCCGCGUGGGGGAUGACGGGCUUCGGGUUGUAAACUCCUUUCGCUAGGGACGAAGCGUUUUGUGACGGUACCUGGAGAAGAAGCACCGGCUAACUACGUG
RNAcentral lists this ribosomal RNA (467 nucleotides) under uncultured bacterium. RNAcentral's name for it is "partial 16S ribosomal RNA". It matches the Rfam family "Bacterial small subunit ribosomal RNA", at positions 28 to 507 of the family's 1533-position model. The record is from RNAcentral.